This 203-nucleotide small RNA is filed under the name Vigna angularis var. angularis. Its description in RNAcentral is "Non-protein coding transcript". Lineage: Eukaryota; Viridiplantae; Streptophyta; Magnoliopsida; Fabales; Fabaceae. The record is from RNAcentral.
UAACCAUUUAAUUCAUACUAGGUCUAAUGGAUGUGGAAAAGUGGUUCAUAAGAGACUGGUUUGAGCUAUUGACAUGGCUGCAUUUGAGUUUGAUCUACUAGAAGAAUAUGAUUCACGCUUUGAGAAACUGAGUCUAGGUGAUAAAUUGCCUAUCAAAUUCUCCAAGUGAGUAAUUGUUAGAAAGACAAGUUAUUGAAUUAUAG